RNAcentral lists this ribosomal RNA (888 nucleotides) under Staphylococcus aureus. RNAcentral's name for it is "partial 23S ribosomal RNA". It matches the Rfam family "Bacterial large subunit ribosomal RNA", at positions 557 to 1452 of the family's 2925-position model. Lineage: Bacteria; Bacillati; Bacillota; Bacilli; Caryophanales; Staphylococcaceae. The record is from RNAcentral.
CGUGUGCUUACAAGUAGUCAGAGCCCGUUAAUGGGUGAUGGCGUGCCUUUUGUAGAAUGAACCGGCGAGUUACGAUUUGAUGCAAGGUUAAGCAGUAAAUGUGGAGCCGUAGCGAAAGCGAGUCUGAAUAGGGCGUUUAGUAUUUGGUCGUAGACCCGAAACCAGGUGAUCUACCCUUGGUCAGGUUGAAGUUCAGGUAACACUGAAUGGAGGACCGAACCGACUUACGUUGAAAAGUGAGCGGAUGAACUGAGGGUAGCGGAGAAAUUCCAAUCGAACCUGGAGAUAGCUGGUUCUCUCCGAAAUAGCUUUAGGGCUAGCCUCAAGUGAUGAUUAUUGGAGGUAGAGCACUGUUUGGACGAGGGGCCCCUCUCGGGUUACCGAAUUCAGACAAACUCCGAAUGCCAAUUAAUUUAACUUGGGAGUCAGAACAUGGGUGAUAAGGUCCGUGUUCGAAAGGGAAACAGCCCAGACCACCAGCUAAGGUCCCAAAAUAUAUGUUAAGUGGAAAAGGAUGUGGCGUUGCCCAGACAACUAGGAUGUUGGCUUAGAAGCAGCCAUCAUUUAAAGAGUGCGUAAUAGCUCACUAGUCGAGUGACACUGCGCCGAAAAUGUACCGGGGCUAAACAUAUUACCGAAGCUGUGGAUUGUCCUUUGGACAAUGGUAGGAGAGCGUUCUAAGGGCGUUGAAGCAUGAUCGUAAGGACAUGUGGAGCGCUUAGAAGUGAGAAUGCCGGUGUGAGUAGCGAAAGACGGGUGAGAAUCCCGUCCACCGAUUGACUAAGGUUUCCAGAGGAAGGCUCGUCCGCUCUGGGUUAGUCGGGUCCUAAGCUGAGGCCGACAGGCGUAGGCGAUGGAUAACAGGUUGAUAUUCCUGUACCACCUAUA